Molecule: ribosomal RNA, 497 nt
Filed under: uncultured bacterium
Lineage: Bacteria
Description: partial 16S ribosomal RNA
Rfam family: Bacterial small subunit ribosomal RNA
Source: RNAcentral
UCUGCCCGCUGGCGGCGUGCCUAAUACAUGCAAGUCGAGCGAACGGACGAGAAGCUUGCUUCUCUGAUGUUAGCGGCGGACGGGUGAGUAACACGUGGAUAACCUACCUAUAAGACUGGGAUAACUUCGGGAAACCGGAGCUAAUACCGGAUAAUAUUUUGAACCGCAUGGUUCAAAAGUGAAAGACGGUCUUGCUGUCACUUAUAGAUGGAUCCGCGCUGCAUUAGCUAGUUGGUAAGGUAACGGCUUACCAAGGCAACGAUGCAUAGCCGACCUGAGAGGGUGAUCGGCCACACUGGAACUGAGACACGGUCCAGACUCCUACGGGAGGCAGCAGUAGGGAAUCUUCCGCAAUGGGCGAAAGCCUGACGGAGCAACGCCGCGUGAGUGAUGAAGGUCUUCGGAUCGUAAAACUCUGUUAUUAGGGAAGAACAUAUGUGUAAGUAACUGUGCACAUCUUGACGGUACCUAAUCAGAAAGCCACGGCUAACUACGUG